UACGUAGGUGACAAGCGUUGUCCGGAUUUACUGGGCGUAAAGAGCGCGCAGGCGGUCGUUCAAGUCGAGUGUGAAAGCCCCCGGCUCAACUGGGGAGGGUCACUCGAUACUGAUCGACUCGAAGGCAGGAGAGGGAAGUGGAAUUCCCGGUGUAGUGGUGAAAUGCGUAGAUAUCGGGAGGAACACCAGUGGCGGAAGGCGGACUUCCUG
This 210-nucleotide ribosomal RNA is filed under the name uncultured bacterium. RNAcentral's name for it is "partial 16S ribosomal RNA". It matches the Rfam family "Bacterial small subunit ribosomal RNA", at positions 524 to 731 of the family's 1533-position model. The record is from RNAcentral.